Molecule: ribosomal RNA, 663 nt
Filed under: Corycium deflexum
Lineage: Eukaryota; Viridiplantae; Streptophyta; Magnoliopsida; Asparagales; Orchidaceae
Description: eukaryotic LSU rRNA
Rfam family: 5.8S ribosomal RNA (bases 209-364)
Source: RNAcentral
AACAAGUGAAUAUAUCGCGGCUACGGACCGUUGCCGCGCACCCGUCCAUCUGUUGCACGAGUACUCAUUGAAGGCCUCGUCGUACAGGCGGACGGGAGAUCAAACGGGCGCAGCUCUGCGCCAAGGAAAAUAUGCAGCAUGAGCGUUGACGGCAUAUCCUAAAAACGUAUGUUUGGCGGAUGGCAGUCUGCUCUUUAAAGAGUUGUAGGACUCUCGACAAUGGAUAUCUUGGCUCCCGCAUCGAUGAAGAGCGCAGCGAAAUGCGAUACGUGGUGCGAAUUGCAGAAUCCCGUGAACCAUCGAGUUUUUGAACGCAAGUUGCGCCCGAGGCCACCUGGCCAAGGGCACGUCCGCCUGGGCGUCAAGCAUGAGCAUCGCUCCACCUAACACCCGCCAUCGAUGAGAUGGGACGGUGUUAUCUAGGAUGCGGAAAUGGCCCGUCGUGCGCCGGCGCACGGCGGGUUGAAGAGAGAGAUGAUUCCUCCCGGCGACGAUCGAUAAAUGGGUGGGAUGAAAGCCCCAAUUGAUCCUCAUCAUYGUAUGGUUGCCUCGAGGAAGCCAACACAUCUYCGCGUAACCCGGCUCAAGUGUUGUUUGAAGCAAAAGUUGAAAUGCGACCCCAGGAUGGGCGGGGUGACCCGCUGAGUUUAAGCAUAUCAAUAA